CAGCAGCCGCGGUAAUACGUAGGGUGCAAGCGUUAUCCGGAUUCACUGGGUUUAAAGGGUGCGUAGGCGGGCAGGUAAGUCAGUGGUGAAAUCUUCGAGCUUAACUCGGAAACUGCCGUUGAUACUAUCUGUCUUGAAUAACGUUGAGGUGAGCGGAAUAUGUCAUGUAGCAGUGAAAUGCUUAGAUAUGACAUAGAACACCGAUUGCGAAGGCAGCUCACUAAACGCUCAUUGACGCUGAGGCACGAAAGCGUGGGGAUCAAACAGGAUUAGAGACCCCUGUAGUCCCUGUCUCUUAUAC
This 301-nucleotide ribosomal RNA is filed under the name uncultured bacterium. RNAcentral describes it as "partial 16S ribosomal RNA". It matches the Rfam family "Bacterial small subunit ribosomal RNA", at positions 509 to 807 of the family's 1533-position model. The record is from RNAcentral.